UACGGAGGGUGCAAGCGUUGUUCGGAAUUACUGGGCGUAAAGCGCGUGUAGGUGGUUCGGUAAGUCGAAUGUGAAAGCCCCGGGCUCAACCCGGGAAGUGCAUCCGAAACUGCCGAACUAGAGUCCCGGAGAGGAAGGCAGAAUUCCCAAUGUAGGGGUGAAAUCCGUAGAUAUUGGGAGGAAUACCGGUGGCGAAGGCGGCCUUCUGGACGGUGACUGACACUCAGACGCGAAAGCGUGGGGAGCAAACAGG
This 253-nucleotide ribosomal RNA is filed under the name uncultured bacterium. RNAcentral describes it as "partial 16S ribosomal RNA". It matches the Rfam family "Bacterial small subunit ribosomal RNA", at positions 524 to 776 of the family's 1533-position model. The record is from RNAcentral.